This 347-nucleotide unclassified non-coding RNA is filed under the name Hevea brasiliensis (rubber tree). The record is from RNAcentral. Lineage: Eukaryota; Viridiplantae; Streptophyta; Magnoliopsida; Malpighiales; Euphorbiaceae.
AAUGAAGAUCCCAACAGCAAAGUCAGCACAAGUAGAUGAUGGCACCCAUUUUGUAGAAACAAUCUAGAAAUUCAGAACCAAUCAGAUUCUGGGUCAAACAAUUAGAACUGUAAUUCCUGCUAAGGGAACAAAUAUCAAGUGCGGAGUUUCCAGACUCUAAUUGUCAAAGUUCUCAAAAUACAACCUCCUUAUCCUACUACUAACAACAAAGUUACAACCGUGAAGUCGAAUGCAUGUUGAAUGUGACACCACCUGAUUACAAAGAAGUGGAUAUAUUAAGCAAAAAUGACAAAGCUUAACAAAGUGAUUCUUGUUCCAACACCUCAUUUGCUCUGUAAAGGGUGUAG